GGGCCGUUAGCUCAGCUGGUUAGAGCGCAUGCUUCACACGCAUGAGGUCACAGGUUCGAGUCCUGUACGGCCCACCA
Molecule: transfer RNA, 77 nt
Filed under: Opitutia bacterium
Lineage: Bacteria; Pseudomonadati; Verrucomicrobiota; Opitutia
Also listed under: 1 other name
Description: tRNA-Val
Rfam family: tRNA
About the family: Transfer RNA (tRNA) molecules are approximately 80 nucleotides in length. Their secondary structure includes four short double-helical elements and three loops (D, anti-codon, and T loops).
Source: RNAcentral